CGACGCGGUGAGGCGCGACGCUAACUACUAAAGAACCAAGAGAAAGAACCCAACCCGACCCAACCCGACCCGGCGGGAACCUGACGCGCCCCAGGGCGCAUGGUCGGGCUCCCGGGGGCUUUCGCGGCUGCAUCACUCACACGGGUGACAUUUCCCAACUCAGCUCGCUUUUCGGCUGGUUGCCCGGCAUAUGCUCACGCCAGUACCAACACCCGACAUACGUCGGCCCCCGACCGGGACUGCAAUCCCAACCGAGGGCCUGGCCACCAAGGAAGCAGCAACCUUCCCG
This is a non-coding RNA of Streptomyces sp. Ncost-T6T-2b, 289 nucleotides long. The record is from Rfam. NCBI's taxonomy places the organism in Bacteria, Bacillati, Actinomycetota, Actinomycetes, Kitasatosporales, Streptomycetaceae.